CCUACGGGUGGCUGCAGUCGAGAAUCAUUCACAAUGGGGGAAACCCUGAUCGUGCGACGCCGCGUGGGGGACUGAAGUUCUUCGGAUUGUAAACCCCUGUCAUGUGGGAGCAAAUUAAGAAGAUAGUACCACACGAGGAAGAGACGACUAACUCUGUUCCAGGAGCCGCGGUAAUACAGAGGUCUCAAGCGUUGUUCGGAAUCCCUUGGCGUAAAGCGUGCGUAGGUUGGUCCGUAAGUCGUGUGUGAAAGGCGCGGGCUUAACCCGCGGACGGCACAUGAUACUGCGAGACUAGAGUAAUCGAGGGGGAAGCGGAAUUCGCGGUGUAGCAGUGAAAUGCGUAGAUAUCGAGAGGAACACUCGUGGCGAAGGCGGGUUCCUGGCGACGAACUGACGCUGAGGCACGAAGGCGAGGGGAGCGAAAGGGAUUAGAUACCCCGGUAGUC
Molecule: ribosomal RNA, 446 nt
Filed under: uncultured bacterium
Lineage: Bacteria
Description: partial 16S ribosomal RNA
Rfam family: Bacterial small subunit ribosomal RNA
Source: RNAcentral